GUUCCAUUCUACAACCAAACGCAGUCUACCUCGCCGUCGCGGUGCUGACCGAGUUGGCCGCCAUCGUCCUCGCGAACGACACGUGCCGUAGCCCAGCUCCCGUGCCAAGGUUGCGUUCGUCGUCUUCUCCAGCCGUGGCCACCUCUACGAGAGUGCGAGUACGCCGCGAGGAGGACGAGGUGGUGGUCGUCGCCGCCGCGGAGGAGAAGCACAGGCACGAUGGCCGCAUCGAGCGGGGCCGCAGGCGGCGGAGCACAGCGGCUGCAGUGCGCUCCAUCCCCGUCGGCGGGCGCGGCAGUGGCACCCCUCCCGGGAGCACGAGCUACGACAGCUUGAGCCCCGCCCUCCACCGCGCGUGCGAAGUCCUCCAUGGCAGACGCCGGCGGCGGAGCGAUCCAUGGCGCGAGGAGAGAGGAGAGCAAGUUUAUUAUACGGCAUGAGGCAACAGUUAGGGAAAUUGAUCAUUUUUCAUCUUAUUAAGGCCCUAUUUAGGAGAGCUUCACUUCAAAAACUUCAGCUUUGGUUUCCAGUUUUACUAUAAAACAGCUCCAGCAAAUUGUUAAGGUGAGUUCCAGGAGCGUUUGGUUUGUAUAUGGACUCCAACUUCUAUAGUACAAUUGAUUUGUGUGGG
RNAcentral lists this unclassified non-coding RNA (631 nucleotides) under Zea mays. RNAcentral describes it as "misc RNA Zm00001eb303390". Lineage: Eukaryota; Viridiplantae; Streptophyta; Magnoliopsida; Poales; Poaceae. The record is from RNAcentral.